This 497-nucleotide ribosomal RNA is filed under the name uncultured bacterium. RNAcentral describes it as "partial 16S ribosomal RNA". It matches the Rfam family "Bacterial small subunit ribosomal RNA", at positions 28 to 507 of the family's 1533-position model. The record is from RNAcentral.
GAUGAACGCUGGCGGCGUGCCUAAUACAUGCAAGUCGAGCGAACAGACGAGGAGCUUGCUCCUCUGACGUUAGCGGCGGACGGGUGAGUAACACGUGGAUAACCUACCUAUAAGACUGGGAUAACUUCGGGACACCGGAGCUAAUACCGGAUAAUAUAUUGAACCGCAUGGUUCAAUAGUGAAAGACGGUUUUGCUGUCACUUAUAGAUGGAUCCGCGCCGCAUUAGCUAGUUGGUAAGGUAACGGCUUACCAAGGCGACGAUGCGUAGCCGACCUGAGAGGGGGAUCGGCCACACUGGAACGGAGACACGGUCCAGACUCCUACGGGAGGCAGCAGUAGGGAAUCUUCCGCAAUGGGCGAAAGCCUGACGGAGCAACGCCGCGUGAGUGAUGAAGGUCUUCGGAUCGUAAAACUCUGUUAUUAGGGAAGAACAAAUGUGUAAGUAACUAUGCACGUCUUGACGGUACCUAAUCAGAAAGCCACGGCUAACUACGUG